This 629-nucleotide long non-coding RNA is filed under the name Amborella trichopoda. RNAcentral describes it as "long non-coding RNA (ATRI_LNC002413)". Lineage: Eukaryota; Viridiplantae; Streptophyta; Magnoliopsida; Amborellales; Amborellaceae. The record is from RNAcentral.
GGCCACCUCAUACAUUAACUUCAGAAGCUCUAUCAAAGUAGUUCGAUCCGAGUUUUUAGCACCUUUGUCCUCCCGACAGGCGAAGUGUCUCUUGAGUGAGUCUAAUGCUAGAAGAGGUUGCCCUCUGUUUGGGGCUUCUACUCUCUGCCACUCCUUACUUUCUGAACUAUUUCCCCAAUCUCCCUAAUAAGGUUGCUAGUCGAUUCUUCUGAUUCCCUGUAAACCUGAGCACUAAUGUUGUUAAUGUAUCCACCAUGAUGGAGAACAGAACUAGGGGAAGCAUCAAAGAUCAGAUCAAGUUGCUCUUUUGUCCGAUUGCUCUAAUACCAUUUCCUAAUGAGUUAGAGUUUGCACAACCAGGCAUUGCUCCUUUUGUAGCAAGUUAUUUGAAAAUGAAACUGAUUCCAUCAUCCCCAUGGUCUUGGCAGGUAGGUCUUUUGACCCAAGUAUCACCAUUUGGGACCUUGUUGCAAGCUGGUGCUCCAGACUAGUGGUUAUGAACACAUCAUCGUGAUGCUCCCAAUUUUUCCACAGGUGAGACUUCUUCUGCAAAGGGCGAACGAUACCCUGACGAUCUUGAUGAGCAUCGGAGUUUGGAUGAGCUAAUGGCGUUUGAAGGGGUUAUUAAC